AUUGAACGCUGGCGGCAUGCCUUACACAUGCAAGUCGAACGGCAGCAUGAUCUAGCUUGCUAGAUUGAUGGCGAGUGGCGAACGGGUGAGUAAUACAUCGGAACGUGCCCUGUAGUGGGGGAUAACUAGUCGAAAGAUUAGCUAAUACCGCAUACGACCUGAGGGUGAAAGUGGGGGACCGCAAGGCCUCAUGCUAUAGGAGCGGCCGAUGUCUGAUUAGCUAGUUGGUGGGGUAAAGGCCCACCAAGGCGACGAUCAGUAGCUGGUCUGAGAGGACGAUCAGCCACACUGGGACUGAGACACGGCCCAGACUCCUACGGGAGGCAGCAGUGGGGAAUUUUGGACAAUGGGGGCAACCCUGAUCCAGCAAUGCCGCGUGUGUGAAGAAGGCCUUCGGGUUGUAAAGCACUUUUGUCCGGAAAGAAAUCGCACUUACUAAUAUUAGGUGUGGAUGACGGUACCGGAAGAAUAAGGACCGGCUAACUACGUGCCAGCAGCCGCGGUAAUACGUAGGGUCCAAGCGUUUAAUCGGAAUACUGGGCGUAAAGCGUGCGCAGGCGGUUGUGCAAGACCGAUGUGAAAUCCCCGGGCUUAACCUGGGAAUUGCAUUGGUGACUGCACGGCUAGAGUGUGUCAGAGGGGGGUAGAAUUCCACGUGUAGCAGUGAAAUGCGUAGAGAUGUGGAGGAAUACCGAUGGCGAAGGCAGCCCCCUGGGAUAACACUGACGCUCAUGCACGAAAGCGUGGGGAGCAAACAGGAUUAGAUACCCUGGUAGUCCACGCCCUAAACGAUGUCAACUAGUUGUUGGGGAUUCAUUUCCUUAGUAACGUAGCUAACGCGUGAAGUUGACCGCCUGGGGAGUACGGUCGCAAGAUUAAAACUCAAAGGAAUUGACGGGGACCCGCACAAGCGGUGGAUGAUGUGGAUUAAUUCGAUGCAACGCGAAAAACCUUACCUACCCUUGACAUGCCACUAACGAAGCAGAGAUGCAUUAGGUGCUCGAAAGAGAAAGUGGACACAGGUGCUGCAUGGCUGUCGUCAGCUCGUGUCGUGAGAUGUUGGGUUAAGUCCCGCAACGAGCGCAACCCUUGUCUCUAGUUGCUACGAAAGGGCACUCUAGAGAGACUGCCGGUGACAAACCGGAGGAAGGUGGGGAUGACGUCAAGUC
RNAcentral lists this ribosomal RNA (1169 nucleotides) under uncultured Burkholderiaceae bacterium. RNAcentral's name for it is "bacterial SSU rRNA". It matches the Rfam family "Bacterial small subunit ribosomal RNA", at positions 28 to 1191 of the family's 1533-position model. Lineage: Bacteria; Pseudomonadati; Pseudomonadota; Betaproteobacteria; Burkholderiales; Burkholderiaceae. The record is from RNAcentral.